Molecule: long non-coding RNA, 1429 nt
Organism: Mobula hypostoma (lesser devil ray)
Lineage: Eukaryota; Metazoa; Chordata; Chondrichthyes; Myliobatiformes; Myliobatidae
Exons: 3
Source: RefSeq, a predicted model, not a curated record
CACUCCCCAUUAUUCACCUGUCCAUUCAACGCCAUACUUGGAAUUCCAGUUCUCAAAGAGUUAAACCAUUCACUCAAGUUAGAUUGGUUUCAACAUCCAGCUUUAAUAUGCUGUGCAAGACACACCCAGAGCAUUCCUUGCAUGGUUACCAAUGCGGCUCCUCCCUUGUUAAAAGGCCAGAAUUAUAAUAUCUGUCUGAAACAAUAGACAGGUGGAAUUAUGUUUGCUCCAGGAGCGAGAGUAAAGUCGAAUACUCCAGCAACAGCUGAUGGACUUUAAAAUAAAAUUGAUUUGCUGCUUAACCUGCUGCACUUUCCCAGAACUUUCUGUCUCAUCAUUAGCUUCUGCAUUUUUAUAAAUUUUUCAGAUUUUCUCUUAGCUUAAAGCCUUGAGAUUUUCUGGGUCCCUUAGAAUCAUGGACUGCCCCAAGCCUGGCUACAAAAGGAGGAGACCCCUGGGCACAGGGCUAGCAACCCCAUCCCGUGAUAACCCAGAGUUAUGAAAACACCAGCAGAAGCACAAAGACCUCAUCCCUGGGACAGGAAGGAUACACCAAGAUGGGCUACACCUGGGGACAACUUGAAAGACUGACCCAGUGAGCUGCUGCCAGUGGCCUGUGCCCCAGCAGGGGUGAUAGGCUUAAAUAAAUCGGAAUCAUGGCAUACAUGGCAAUAUGUUUGACUUUUGUCCAAGUGUGGUGCCUUUCCCAAAUCUGGAUCCUGUGGGCAGUAUUCUAUCCCUCCAAGUCCUUUUUAAAGAUGGUAAGGAGAAAUUGUGUUGGUGAGUGGUAUCCAGACUGCAAAAGAUCAACGUGCUUUGUCAUUUCAGACAGAAUAUUUUGUCAUUCCUCUCAUAGUCAAUCAAUCAGACAAUGAUAAAACAAAUUGUCAAAUCCAUCCUGAAAUCCAAAUGGGUAAGAUUCACUGCUUUGCUUUUGCCUAUUGGUUGUGUAACAUUCUCAAGAAAAUUCAGCAUAAUCCUAAAAUACAGUUUAUCUUCUAAAGUCCAGUGCUGAUUGUCCUAUCUUUUACUGUUGAUAACAGCUUGGAUUUAUUUAACACAUUCACCACAGCAACCGGUCUCAAGGUGCUUAAGUUCAAAUAGCCUUCAGCAUUUAUACACUUUCGUAAGACCAGGAGACGAUAAGACACCAGAGCAGAAUUAGUCCACUUGGCCCAUUGAGUCUACUCCACCUUCUCAUCAUGGCUGAUUCAUUAUUCCUCUCAACCUCAUUCUCCUGCCUUUUCUCCGUAACCUUUCACACCCUUACUAAUCAAUACCUUAUCAAGAUCCGUUUUAAAUAUAUCCAAUGACCUGGCCUCCACAGCCAUCUGUGGCAAUGAAUUCCACAGAUUCACCACCCUCUGGCUAAUGAAAUUUCCUUCUAACAUCUGUUUUAAAGGGAUGUCCUUCUAUUCUGUGGCUGUGC